UCCCUGGUGGUCCAGUGUCUAAGAUUCUGAGCUCCCAAUGCAGGUGGCCCAGGUUCGAUCCCUUGUCAGGGAA
Molecule: non-coding RNA, 73 nt
Organism: Ovis aries (sheep)
Lineage: Eukaryota; Metazoa; Chordata; Mammalia; Artiodactyla; Bovidae
Source: Rfam